Molecule: ribosomal RNA, 2595 nt
Filed under: Triticum aestivum (bread wheat)
Lineage: Eukaryota; Viridiplantae; Streptophyta; Magnoliopsida; Poales; Poaceae
Description: partial small subunit ribosomal RNA
Source: RNAcentral
AUGGCCAUCCACACGGUGUUUCAGCUGCUCCUACUUCUGCUUCUUUCUUCCAUCAGCAGCAGCACCACCAUGGCUACGACUCCAUUAGCAGCGCGAGCUUCCGAAUCUGGAGCUCCAAGACACCAACAGGGCAUCAGGAGGUUCCCAUCUGCCAAUUGCCCAAACAAAUGCGGCGAUAUGGAUAUCAUGUUUCCCUUCGGCAUCGGCCCCGACUGCUCCCGGGAUACCACCUUCGCUCUCAUUUGCGACAACGGCACGCUCUAUCUCACAGACCGCGUCACGAAGGUGUUUUUCAUGGGCGACGCCGGGGCUCCACAGGCUUCCAUUGGCAGUGUAAUUAUCAAGUCCUCAAUUCCCAUCUCGACGAGUCCGGGUGCUGAAGUGCAGAAUGCAUCACUAAAGACCCCCUCCAGCAAUCUCGUUUUCGCUCUCUCUCAGCUAAUGAUCACCGUGUGCAAUUUCUACACCUACCUGAUUGGAAACUCAAAUAUAAGUCCGGAAAUCCCGUUUUGCACUUACUGUGACGCGGAUGAGUCAGACCCCGAUAUGGUUUACGGGAAGAAAUGCAACCACAGACCACCCUUCGACGCCCACAUGGUUGCCAAUCCCGUGCAGCUCAAGUUUGUCCCUGUCAAGGAGGCCCAGCAGGUGCAGCGCCAAAAAGCGACUGUGCUAGCUAUGCUUUUUUGGAAUAUAAAUGACCAACGUACAUGUGCCGCCGCUUCGGCAGAUUGGGCCAACUUCGCCUGCGUGAGCAACCACAGCUCGUGCGUAGACACCACAUACAUGGCUGGUUAUUCAUGCCGUUGCGAUGCUGGGUACUCGGGCAACCCGUAUGUACUCGGUGGCUGCUCGCGUGAUCCCGGAUACAAUCCGUCGGCUCGGCGAAAUGUGACGUGCACUCGUUCUUGUGGUAAAAUGAAGAUUCCCUUUCCAUUUGGACUAGAAGAUGGUUGUUCUGCAAAGACCGAAUUUCAACUUUACUGCAACGCAUCAGCUUUCAUGUUUCUAUAUUCAAUUAGAAGGCCAGGGGGAUAUAUCACAAACAUCAAUAUUACUGAGGGGUACUUGGACAUUGAAGGUACCUCUUAUGAUCAGUCUGACUAUGGACCAUUCUACAUUGCUGACAGAGGCUCAAACAGACUGCAAUGGGUAGUCGCAAAUAUAACUUGCCAAGAGGCACAUCAGCAUAUCUUCACAUAUGCAUGUGUUAGCCCCAAUAGCGAAUGCUUAUACGUCAACUCAACGGUAGUGGGUUAUAGCUGUAAAUGCAAUGAUGGCCAUGCAGGAAAUCCAUACGUUACCGGACCCGAUGGUUGUAAAUGCAAUGAUGGCCUUUGUAAAGGAGUAUGCCGCAGUACCGAUGGAAGUUACACAUGUGCAGGUAUUGCUAUUGGGCUUGGAAUUGGCUUCGGUCUUCUACUUCUUGGCUUAAGUGCAAUGUUUAUCCUCCGUAGAUGGAGAAGAGGCGUCCAAAAGAGACUGAGAAUGAAAUAUUUUACAAAGAACCACGGCCUCCUUCUAGAACAAUUAAUAUCAUCAAAUGAAGAUGCAAGUGAAAGGACAAAGAUUUUCUCUCUAGAAGAGUUGGAGCAGGCAACAAACAACUUUGAUCUCACACGGAUCCUUGGCCGUGGAGGGCAUGGCAUGGUGUACAAAGGCAUCUUAUCUGACCAGCGAGUGGUGGCUAUAAAGAAAUCUAAGGUCAUUGAGCAAGGUGAGAUUGACCAAUUCAUCAAUGAGGUCGCCAUCCUUUCACAGAUCAACCACAGAAACAUCGUAAAGUUGUAUGGUUGUUGCCUUGAAACUGAGGUGCCACUACUAGUGUAUGAUUUUGUUCCUAAUGGUUCCUUGUUUGAAAUCCUUCAUUCUGGUCCAAGCAACACUUCUUUGUCCUGGGAUGGCUGCCUAAGAAUUGCUGCACAGGCUGCAGGAGCCCUCUAUUAUCUCCACUCUGCAGCUUCCAUAUCAGUCUUCCAUCGUGAUGUCAAGUCUUCUAAUAUACUCCUGGAUGCAAACUACACUGCAAAAGUUUCUGACUUUGGUGCAUCAAGAUUGGUGCAUAUAGAUCAAACUCAUGUUACCACCGGCAUACAAGGCACAUUUGGAUACUUGGAUCCAGAAUAUUUUCGCACUGGGCAGCUAAAUGAAAAGAGCGACGUGUACAGCUUUGGUGUUGUGCUUUUAGAGCUACUUCUCAGAAAGAAACCUGUUUUUACUAGCGAGUCAGGCUCGGCUCAGAGUUUAUCUAGUUACUUUCUUGGGGAGAUGCAGGAGAGGCCAGUAAAAGAGAUAGUCGCCGCUCAAGUUCGUGAAGAAGCAACCGAGGAAGAAAUUAUCAGUGUUGCCUCCCUUGCAGAGAUGUGCCUGCGGCUCCAGGGUGAUUAUAGGCCUACGAUGAAGGAAGUGGAGAUGUCUUUGCAGCUUCUGCAUACGAAAAGGUUGUUGUCAUCCCAUGUCACUCCAGAAAAUGGACGAGCUGAAGCUAGUGCCCCGUCUCACUCAGGUAACGAAAUCAAUCCAGCCCCUGCACACAGUCAACGAUGUUAUAGCUUGGAGCAAGAGUUCUUAUCAUCUGCUAGCUUACCACGCUAA